This 215-nucleotide ribosomal RNA is filed under the name uncultured Comamonadaceae bacterium. Its description in RNAcentral is "partial 16S ribosomal RNA". It matches the Rfam family "Bacterial small subunit ribosomal RNA", at positions 897 to 1106 of the family's 1533-position model. Lineage: Bacteria; Pseudomonadati; Pseudomonadota; Betaproteobacteria; Burkholderiales; Comamonadaceae. The record is from RNAcentral.
AAACUUAAAGGAAUUGACGGGGACCCGCACAAGCGGUGGAUGAUGUGGUUUAAUUCGAUGCAACGCGAAAAAACCUUAACCCACCUUUGUACAUGUAUGGAAGAUCGCAGAGACGCGAUUGUGCUCGAAAGAGAGCCAUAACACAGGUGCUGCAUGGCUGUCGUCAGCUCGUGUCGUGAGAUGUUGGGUUAAGUCCCGCAACGAGCGCAACCCUU